CCCUUAGAUGUUCUGGGCCGCGCGCGCGCUACAAUGGUCUUCGCAAACGGAUGCAUUCUCGAAGGAGAAUGCCAAUCUUGGAAUCUAUGCCUUGGUCGGGACAGUUGCUUGCAAUUUUUCGACUCGAACCAGGAAUUCCUUGUAAUCGUGAUUCAUCACAUCACGAUGAAUACGUCCCUGCCCUUUGUACACACCGCCCGUCGCUCCUACCGAUCGAAGAGUUAGGUGAAUUGUUUUGAUCGAUAAGAUUUGACUAUGGUCAACUCUCGUUGUGAAAUUCUGUGAAUCUGACUGUUUAGAGGAAGGAAAAGUCGUAACA
Molecule: ribosomal RNA, 319 nt
Filed under: uncultured eukaryote
Lineage: Eukaryota
Description: partial 18S ribosomal RNA
Rfam family: Eukaryotic small subunit ribosomal RNA
Source: RNAcentral